CGAUGUGGGAAGGCCCAGACAGCCAGGAUGUUGGCUUAGAAGCAGCCAUCAUUUAAAGAAAGCGUAAUAGCUCACUGGUCGAGUCGGCCUGCGCGGAAGAUGUAACGGGGCUAAACCAUGCACCGAAGCUGCGGCAGCGACACUGUGUGUUGUUGGGUAGGGGAGCGUUCUGUAAGCCUGUGAAGGUGUGUCGUGAGGCAUGCUGGAGGUAUCAGAAGUGCGAAUGCUGACAUAAGUAACGAUAAAGCGGGUGAAAAGCCCGCUCGCCGGAAGACCAAGGGUUCCUGUCCAACGUUAAUCGGGGCAGGGUGAGUCGACCCCUAAGGCGAGGCCGAAAGGCGUAGUCGAUGGGAAACGGGUUAAUAUUCCCGUACUUGGUGUUACUGCGAAGGGGGGACGGAGAAGGCUAUGUUGGCCGGGCGACGGUUGUCCCGGUUUAAGCGUGUAGGUGUGUGUUCCAGGUAAAUCCGGUUCACUUUAACACUGAGGCGUGACGACGAGGCACUACGGUGCUGAAGCAACAAAUGCCCUGCUUCCAGGAAAAGCCUCUAAGCAUCAGGUAACAUCAAAUCGUACCCCAAACCGACACAGGUGGUCAGGUAGAGAAUACCAAGGCGCUUGAGAGAACUCGGGUGAAGGAACUAGGCAAAAUGGUGCCGUAACUUCGGGAGAAGGCACGCUGACACGUAGGUGAAGUGAUUUACUCAUGGAGCUGAA
Molecule: ribosomal RNA, 717 nt
Filed under: Salmonella enterica
Lineage: Bacteria; Pseudomonadati; Pseudomonadota; Gammaproteobacteria; Enterobacterales; Enterobacteriaceae
Description: partial 23S ribosomal RNA
Rfam family: Bacterial large subunit ribosomal RNA
Source: RNAcentral